Molecule: ribosomal RNA, 1123 nt
Filed under: Candidatus Chloroheliaceae bacterium
Lineage: Bacteria; Bacillati; Chloroflexota; Chloroflexia; Candidatus Chloroheliales; Candidatus Chloroheliaceae
Description: partial 23S ribosomal RNA
Rfam family: Bacterial large subunit ribosomal RNA
Source: RNAcentral
AAGGGCGUACGGAGGAUGCCUUGGCUCUCAGAGGCGAAGAAGGACGUGAUAAGCUGCGAUAAGCUGUGGGGAGGUGCAAAUAACCGUUAAUCCGCAGAUUUCCGAAUGGGGCAACCCAGCAUAGCGAUAUGUUAUACCAUUAUAUGGUAGGCGAACCCGCUGAACUGAAACAUCUAAGUAAGCGGAGGAAAAGAAAACAAUAGUGAUUCCCUUAGUAGUGGCGAUCGAACGGGGAAGAGCCCAAACCAUGAAUGUUUCGGCAUUUAUGGGGUUGUAGGGCUGCGAUAUAUGAGACAAUCAAGAAGUAGAAUUUUUCUGGAAAGUUUAACCAUAGGGGGUGAAAGUCCCGUACACGUAAUUGAUUGAGGAGUUAGCAGUACCCUGAGUAGGGCGGGACACGUGAAAUCCUGUCUGAAACUGCCGGGACCAUCCGGCAAGGCUAAAUACUACUGAGAGACCGAUAGUGAACCAGUACCGUGAGGGAAAGGUGAAAAGUACCCCGAACAGGGGGGUGAAAUAGUACCUGAAACCGUGCGCCUACAAGCGGUCGGAGCCCAUUCGUUGGGUGACGGCGUGCCUUUUGCAUAAUGAGCCUACGAGUUACUCCUCACUGGCAAGGUUAAGCACAAGAAUGUGUGGAGCCGAAGCGAAAGCGAGUCUGAACAGGGCGCUUGAGUCAGUGGGGGUAGACGCGAAACCUUGUGAUCUACCCAUGGCCAGGUUGAAGGUGAGGUAACACUCACUGGAGGACCGAACCAGGGAACGUUGAAAAGUUCUUGGAUGAGCUGUGGGUAGGGGUGAAAGGCUAAUCAAACUGGGAAAUAGCUCGUACUCCCCGAAAUGCAUUUAGGUGCAGCCUCGGUUAUGAGUCUUGCAGAGGUAGAGCUACUGAUUGGAUGCGAGGGCUUCACCGCCUAUCAACUCCAGACAAACUCCGAAUGCUGUAAGAUGCUCACCGGGAGUGAGGGCGCGGGUGCUAAGGUCCGUGUCCGAGAGGAAAAGAAUCCGGACCAUCAGCUAAGGUCCCCAAGUGUAUGUUAAGUUGAAUUAACGAGGUCUGAUUGCAGAGACAGCUAGGAUGUUGGCUUGGAAGCAGCCAUUCAUUUAAAGAGUGCGUAACAGC